This 1377-nucleotide long non-coding RNA is filed under the name Homo sapiens (human). RNAcentral describes it as "LHRI_LNC2103.11". Lineage: Eukaryota; Metazoa; Chordata; Mammalia; Primates; Hominidae. The record is from RNAcentral.
CAGAGGAACUUAGUCAUUGACUGUGGUGGGGCUGCAGGACGAUAAGAAUUCGGAAGUGAAAGAACUCAGAAGGCAGUGCCAGCAGCUGGAGUCUGUUAAACGGAGCAGUCUGUGUCAAAAGAGCUUCUCUCCAGAGUAGAAAGAGACGGGGUUUUGCCAUGUUGGCUAGGCUGGUCUUGAACUCCCGACCUCAAGUGAUCCGCCCACCUUGGCCUCCCAAAGUCCUGGGAUUACAGGUGUGAGCCACUGCCCCUGGACCACAGAUGGAGUCUCACUCUGUUGCCCAGGCUGGAGUGCAGUGGCGCAGUCUCGGCUCACUGCAAGCUCCGCCUCCUGGGUUCACGCCAUUCUCCUGCUUCAGCCUCCUGAGUAGCUGGGACUACAGGUGCCCGCCACCACGCCCGGCUAAUUUUUUGUAUUUUUAGUAGAGACGGGGUUUCACCGUGUUAGCCAGGAUGGUCUCGAUCUCCUGACCUUGUGAUCCACCCGCCUCAGCCUCCCAAAGUGCUGGGAUUACAGGCGUGAGCCACCGUGCCCAGCCUCUUAUUUUUAAUAGAGCAUUGGAAAAUGAAUUCUGUAUACCUGGUUAAUGAAGGAAAUCCAGAUUCGUUGCCAAAACCAAGUUUUAAAGGAAUUUGCAAUCCUUCACAGUUCAUUCAAGGAGGCAAUGGAAAUUUUGAUGAAGAAAUUUUUUUAAAUCUUUCUUAAAAGGAGUCCUUACAUUGGUAUUGUAUCAUGACUAAAGUCUUCCUCCCUCUCUCCCUUCUAUGCUUUUUGUUUCUGUUUUCUAUCUGUCAAUGACAUCAGUUUCAUGGAUAUAAAUGGUUAAAAGACAAUGAUUACAACACACAGUUGAGUGACACAAAUCUUGUUGUAGUGUUAGAAAUACAUCAAUACAUUGGGAUCAUAAAGAGAAAUGGCAAGAAAAAAAAUCUAAGUUAAUAACAGAAAAUGCUGAUUCCCACAGUCAGUGUAGAAAAUAACACGUUUUUUUUUCUGUCAGUGGAGAUAACUGAGACUAGUUAAUAUUGUCAAUUCUGUUCCUUCUGACUGAGCCAGGUGAGGCAAAAUUUAGCAUAUGAGUUGAGGGACAAAACUAUUACCUUGGCAACAUAAAAAUUAAUACUGUCUACAUUGUUUACUAGGAAAUGCAUGCAAAAUUAAUACACUCUUGGUAGUACAGGUUGGUUUCACUUCUAUAGUGUGUGGUUAAUAGAAAGCUGAUUCAACAGACGAUAGAUUCAACAGACGAUGUAGAAUUGUCUAAAAUCCGGCCGGGCGCGGUGGUUCACGCCUGUACUCCCAGCACUUUGGGAGGCCGAGGCGGCAGAUCACAGUGUCAGGAGAUCGAGACCAUCCUGGCUAACAUUGUGAAAC